GGUGGCUCAGUGGUAGAGUGCUUGCCUUGCACGCAUGAGGGCUUGAGUUUGAUUCCUCAGCACCA
This 65-nucleotide transfer RNA is filed under the name Dipodomys ordii (Ord's kangaroo rat). It matches the Rfam family "tRNA". Rfam says of the family: Transfer RNA (tRNA) molecules are approximately 80 nucleotides in length. Lineage: Eukaryota; Metazoa; Chordata; Mammalia; Rodentia; Heteromyidae. The record is from Rfam by way of RNAcentral.